GAUGAACGCUGGCGGCGUGCUUAACACAUGCAAGUCGAACGAAGCACUUUAUUUGAUUUCCUUCGGGACUGAUUAUUUUGUGACUGAGUGGUGGACGGGUGAGUAACGCGUGGGUAACCCGCCUUGUACAGGGGGAUAACAGUUGGAAACGGCUGCUAAUACCGCAUAAGCGCACAGCAUCGUAUGACGCAGUGUGAAAAACUCCGGUGGUAUAAGAUGGACUCGCGUUGGAUUAGCUAGUUGGUGAGGUAACGGCCCACGAAGGCGACGAUCCAUAGCCGAGCUGAGAGGGUGACCGGCGACAUUGGGACUGGGACACGGCCCGGACUCCUACGGGAGGCGGCAAUGGGGGAUAUUGCACAGUGGGCGGAGGCCUGAUGCAGCGACGCCGCGUGAGCGAAGAAAUAUUUCGGUAAGUAAAGCUCUAUCAGCAGGGAAGAUAAUGGCGGUACCUGAAGAAGAAGCACCGGCUAAAUACGUG
RNAcentral lists this ribosomal RNA (481 nucleotides) under uncultured bacterium. RNAcentral's name for it is "partial 16S ribosomal RNA". It matches the Rfam family "Bacterial small subunit ribosomal RNA", at positions 28 to 507 of the family's 1533-position model. The record is from RNAcentral.